Molecule: ribosomal RNA, 301 nt
Filed under: uncultured bacterium
Lineage: Bacteria
Description: partial 16S ribosomal RNA
Rfam family: Bacterial small subunit ribosomal RNA
Source: RNAcentral
CAGUCGCCGCGGUAAUACAGAGGGUGCGAGCGUUAAUCGGAUUUACUGGGCGUAAAGCGUGCGUAGGCGGCUUCUUAAGUCGGAUGUGAAAUCCCUGAGCUUAACUUAGGAAUUGCAUUCGAUACUGGGAAGCUAGAGUAUGGGAGAGGAUGGUAGAAUUCCAGGUGUAGCGGUGAAAUGCGUAGAGAUCUGGAGGAAUACCGAUGGCGAAGGCAGCCAUCUGGUCUAAUACUGACGCUGAGGUACGAAAGCAUGGGGAGCAAACAGGAUUAGAUACCCCAGUAGUCCUGUCUCUUAUACA